This 639-nucleotide long non-coding RNA is filed under the name Mus pahari (shrew mouse). Its description in RNAcentral is "lncRNA (MGP_PahariEiJ_G0006179.1)". Lineage: Eukaryota; Metazoa; Chordata; Mammalia; Rodentia; Muridae. The record is from RNAcentral.
AACUAGAGAGGUAUUAGUGAAUUCUUCUUCACAACCUGGGUCCAAUUGCCUGCUGGGAAGGAGCUUGGUGCUGCUGCUGCUGCUGCUGCUGCUGCUGGGUGAUCCAUGGAGCUAUGCUAUGGUGGACAGUUACCCCUCAGGAACACCUGGCAAGGGACACCUGCUGGUCCUAGCUUCACUGCUCUUCUCUCCAUCUUUGGAACCACGACUGGGAGGAAAGAACAAGCUAUGGAGUAGGGAUACCUCAUGCUGAUGAUACAAGAGGCCACAAGUGGAAAGUGGAAACAUGCAACGUGGGAAAACUCUUGUUAAUUACAGUCGAAGUCCACGUGACCGGAUACCUUCUGGGCUCGGUGCAUUUAUGGGAAACUCCCUUUGUUAAUGGGUUUUCUCCUUCUCUGACCUUGCGUGGGAAAUUCUAAGCCCCCGCACGAUCUCUUUUCCCUAUGGAUGCCAUGUAGCCUCACUUAGUUUAUAGGAUCGAUUUUCUUUCUCCUGAUAAAAACCCAUUCAGCAAUCACCUGAGGUACCUGAAGUGAUUCCCCACCCUAGCGAGGCAUUCUAGGCACCCCCAGCCCUGAGCCAAUGGCCAUUGCCCAUCCUUGAUGUCCCUACCCUUAUUCCCCCAAAACUUUUAAA